UACGUAGGGUGCGAGCGUUAAUCUGAUUUACUGGGCGUAAAGCGUGCGCAGGCGGCCCGUUAAGACAGGUGUGAAAUCCCUGGGCUCAACCUAGGAAUUGCGCUUGUGACUGGCGGGCUCGAGUACGGUAGAGGGGGGUGGAAUUCCUGGUGUAGCAGUGAAAUGCGUAGAGAUCAGGAGGAACACCGAUGGCGAAGGCAGCCCCCUGGGCCUGUACUGACGCUCAUGCACGAAAGCGUGGGGGGCAAACAGG
RNAcentral lists this ribosomal RNA (253 nucleotides) under uncultured microorganism. RNAcentral's name for it is "partial 16S ribosomal RNA". It matches the Rfam family "Bacterial small subunit ribosomal RNA", at positions 524 to 776 of the family's 1533-position model. The record is from RNAcentral.